This 234-nucleotide unclassified non-coding RNA is filed under the name uncultured fungus. RNAcentral describes it as "sequence contains ITS1". The record is from RNAcentral. Lineage: Eukaryota; Fungi.
GUUUUCAAUUAAAACCCUUCGUAAAGAAGGUUCCAUCAAUUCACAUAAAAACACAAACGAGUAUAAAACAUAAUGCUGGCAGCCCAGAAGGAAAAGAUCCCUCAUAAGGCGGACUGCCAAAAUACAGGAAACAUUCACAAAUUGGUGGAAAUGAUAUUUCUCUGAAGGGAGAACCCUAGCAGAAGAAAAAUCAAUUAAUUCAUAAUGAUCCAACCGCAGGUUCACCUACGGUUA